Molecule: long non-coding RNA, 924 nt
Filed under: Homo sapiens (human)
Lineage: Eukaryota; Metazoa; Chordata; Mammalia; Primates; Hominidae
Description: HSALNT0043844
Source: RNAcentral
GUUUACCAAGAAAAAAUACUGAACAGAAGCUCAAGUAAUCAUUCCAAGGCUACACUGGCUUCAAGGGGUCAACAAUGUUACAGCUUUCAAGCUCAGAAAUUGCUGGCACAUAUAUACUUUCAUAACCAGGGUAGGUAAGUUCCAACAUAAAAUGAUCACAUGGUAAUUUUUCAGAGAAAUGGAAAUGUAAAGGAGAAGGCCUGCCAGUUCCUACGAAUGAGAAAUGAUCUUCCACCAUCACUAAGCACACUUACGGUUAACAUCGCGAACAUCAGCUGACACACGUUGAAGGUCCAUGAACAUCCGGAGAGCAGCUGUGAUCAUGGCAUCAACGUCGAGAGAAAAGUCAUCAAAAUGAAUGUCAUCGAUGGCAAGUUCUGACACCAGAGGGAUGUUGGCUGCCUAGAAAAGCAAAAGACAUAAGUCAAGCCAAGUUCACCAGCUUUCCCAAACCCCCAUCCUGCUCUCCUCCCCUGCUUAUCAGAAGUGCCACAUAAAUCAGGCCUGACCUGCACUUACACCCUGAUACAGCUAAACUCUGAGCUGUAAAUGUCUUUUGUUUCUGAACUGCAAAUGCCCCAAGCAAAUGAAGGUGGGGGCAGGGUUGGGGGCGGGGGGAGGGAAACUAAUCUGAAGAUAAAAUACACGCACUGGAUCUAGCCUGCAGAAUUUAUAAUACAGAACUGUCAAGUUUAUGGAAACUGUGGUCAUACAAUAUAUUCUGAUGCAUAUUACAGAGCACUAAAUGCAAGAAACAUCUGGGCAGCCAGCAGCUGUGAAUUUUAAUUGAUGCUAUUCAGGAGAAGGAGAAGGGAAUACACCACUUUGCCUUGUUUCUUAUAUCCUUAUAUCCUGUAGCUUGCACGUGUUCUUUGUUACACACGUGUUCUGUAUAUUCAGAAUGAUCGAAAGGAUCAGACAGCA